RNAcentral lists this ribosomal RNA (483 nucleotides) under uncultured bacterium. Its description in RNAcentral is "partial 16S ribosomal RNA". It matches the Rfam family "Bacterial small subunit ribosomal RNA", at positions 28 to 507 of the family's 1533-position model. The record is from RNAcentral.
GACGAACGCUGGCGGCGUGCUUAACACAUGCAAGUCGAACGCUGAAGCUCAGCUUUUGUUGGGUGGAUGAGUGGCGAACGGGUGAGUAACACGUGAGUAACCUGCCCCCUUCUUUGGGAUAACGCCCGGAAACGGGUGCUAAUACUGGAUAUUCACUGGUCUUCGCAUGGGGGGUGGGGGAAAGGGUUUUUCUGGUGGGGGAUGGGCUCGCGGCCUAUCAGCUUGUUGGGGGGGUGAUGGCCUACCAAGGCUUUGACGGGUAGCCGGCCUGAGAGGGUGGCCGGUCACAUUGGGACUGAGAUACGGCCCAGACUCCUACGGGAGGCAGCAGUGGGGAAUAAUGCGCAAUGGGCGCGAGCCUGAUGCAGCGACGCCGCGUGAGGGAUGGAGGCCUUCGGGUUGCGAACCUCUUUCGCUCAUGGUCAAGCCGCAACAAUGGUUGUGGUGAGGGUAGUGGGUAAAGAAGCGCCGGCUAACUACGUG